AAAAUAUCUUGUAUCACCAACCUCUUUAUUAGCAUACUUGUCAGCUCUUACUUAAAAUGCAUCUUAUCUUAUCAAGAUUCGAGAAAGAGAAGAGAGAAGGAAGAAAGAACGUGAAGAAAAAGAAAAAUAUGAAGCUAAACUGGAAGCUGAAAUGAAAAUUUAUAUCCCCUGGGGGAAAAGUGGAGGUGGUGCUCCUUUGAGGGAUGCAAAAGGAAAUUUGAUAACUGAUUUGAAUAGGAUGCACAAACAAAAUAUAGAUGCCUACCAUAACCCAGAUGCAAGAACAUAUGAAGAUAAAAGGGCUGUUGUAUCUCUAAACCAAAAUUUAGCCACUUCAAAUGCUGAGAACCUAGAAGAUUCUGCAAAUAACAAUUCAGGUCAUGUGCAAACACAGAGUUCUCCUUUUGCUCGGGGAAAUAUAUUUGGUGAGCCUCCAACUGAACUUCAGAUUAAACAGCAAGAGUUAUACAAGAAUUUUCUUCGUUUUCAGAUUUUGGAAAAGAGUGACCUAAAAAGC
This 517-nucleotide long non-coding RNA is filed under the name Fukomys damarensis (Damara mole-rat). Its description in RNAcentral is "lncRNA (ENSFDAG00000024992.1)". The record is from RNAcentral. Lineage: Eukaryota; Metazoa; Chordata; Mammalia; Rodentia; Bathyergidae.